This 407-nucleotide ribosomal RNA is filed under the name uncultured bacterium. RNAcentral's name for it is "partial 16S ribosomal RNA". It matches the Rfam family "Bacterial small subunit ribosomal RNA", at positions 355 to 774 of the family's 1533-position model. The record is from RNAcentral.
UGGGGAAUAUUGCACAAUGGGCGGAAGCCUGAUGCAGCAACGCCGCGUGCGGGAUGACGGCCUUCGGGUUGUAAACCGCUUUCGCCUGUGACGAAGCGUGAGUGACGGUAAUGGGUAAAGAAGCACCGGCUAACUACGUGCCAGCAGCCGCGGUGAUACGUAGGGUGCGAGCGUUGUCCGGAUUUAUUGGGCGUAAAGGGCUCGUAGGUGGGUGAUCGCGUCGGAAGUGUAAUCUUGGGGCUUAACCCUGAGCGUGCUUUCGAUACGGGUUGACUUGAGGAAGGUAGGGGAGAAUGGAAUUCCUGGUGGAGCGGUGGAAUGCGCAGAUAUCAGGAGGAACACCAGUGGCGAAGGCGGUUCUCUGGGCCUUUCCUGACGCUGAGGAGCGAAAGCGUGGGGAGCGAACA